This 287-nucleotide ribosomal RNA is filed under the name uncultured bacterium. Its description in RNAcentral is "partial 16S ribosomal RNA". It matches the Rfam family "Bacterial small subunit ribosomal RNA", at positions 773 to 1060 of the family's 1533-position model. The record is from RNAcentral.
GUGGAUUAGAUACCCUGGUAGUCCAUGCCGUAAACGUUGGGCACUAGGUGUGGGGGACAUUCCACGUUUUCCGCGCCGUAGCUAACGCAUUAAGUGCCCCGCCUGGGGAGUACGGCCGCAAGGCUAAAACUCAAAGGAAUUGACGGGGGCCCGCACAAGCGGCGGAGCAUGCGGAUUAAUUCGAUGCAACGCGAAGAACCUUACCAAGGCUUGACAUACACCGGAAUCACUCAGAGAUGGGUGCGUCUUCGGACUGGUGUACAGGUGGUGCACGGCUGUCGUCAGCU